This 352-nucleotide ribosomal RNA is filed under the name uncultured cyanobacterium. Its description in RNAcentral is "bacterial SSU rRNA". It matches the Rfam family "Bacterial small subunit ribosomal RNA", at positions 1055 to 1408 of the family's 1533-position model. Lineage: Bacteria; Bacillati; Cyanobacteriota. The record is from RNAcentral.
UCAGCUCGUGUCGUGAGAUGUUGGGUUAAGUCCCGCAACGAGCGCAACCCACGUCUUUAGUUGCCAGCAUUUAGUUGGGCACUCUAGAGAGACCGCCGGUGACAAACCGGAGGAAGGUGUGGAUGACGUCAAGUCAUCAUGCCCCUUACGUCCUGGGCUACACACGUACUACAAUGCUACGGACAAAGAGCAGCAAACUCGCGAGGGUAAGCAAAUCUCAUAAACCGUGGCUCAGUUCAGAUCGUAGGCUGCAACUCGCCUACGUGAAGGAGGAAUCGCUAGUAAUCGCAGGUCAGCAUACUGCGGUGAAUACGUUCCCGGGCCUUGCACACACCGCCCGUCACACCAUGGA